This 1125-nucleotide long non-coding RNA is filed under the name Homo sapiens (human). Its description in RNAcentral is "non-protein coding LRRC75A-AS1:85". The stretch from base 138 to 211 matches the Rfam family "Small nucleolar RNA SNORD49". Lineage: Eukaryota; Metazoa; Chordata; Mammalia; Primates; Hominidae. The record is from RNAcentral.
GGAUUGGGAUAUUCCGACUCCUUAAGGGCCUGGCGCACAUAAGGUGUGACCUUUUCAUUCCCGUUGUUAUGGAGGGCCACAUCUGCCAGAGCCUGGAGUCUGCGAAGGCCGGGACCCGGUUCCCCGGCCCACAGUGGGGGUGUGCAAACCCGAGAGAACUGGGAAGUGCCGUCAGAAGCGAUAACUGACGACGUCUAAUGUCUAUCUGACCGCAGUCGCUGAAACCUCUACAACUUAGUUGACCGUAACUGCCAGAGCCCUGCCCUGAAUUCCUGUCCUUACUCCCUCUUUAAGAUUGCGUACCCACUGCAGAGUGCUGAAGACGGGGUAGCCACGAGGUUGCAAAUUCGUGAAGAAUCAGCAUCAUGUUUGGCAGCUGAGUAUUGGAGCCAGGAGCCUGCCAUGAGGUUUUGAGAACAGAGUGCUGUUUUAGAGCUGGCAGCAGCAUCUCAGCCCAAGAGAAGGUUAUAUUCCCAGAGGAUGUCAGUCCCAAGGACCAGUAGCUGCCAUCAGUUUGGAUUCUGAAAACUAACUGGCAUCAACACUGGGUGUAGAAACAUGCUUGCCUUAUGUAUCAGAGGACAUGCUCAGCAGAUCCAAGAGAUAUAUUUGGCAACUUUUUCUAGAAAAGGCACAUUGGGUAUCAUUCAUUACAUUCUUGAGUUUUUUUGGGUUUUUUUUUUUUUUUUUGAGACAGUCUUGCUGUAUUGCCCAGGCUGGAGUGUGGUGGCACAAUCACAGCUCAUUGCAUCCUCAAUCACCCAGGCCUAAGCAAUCCUCCCACCUUGUAGCUGGGACUACAGCUCACAGCACACCUGGCUAAAAUUUUUUUUUUGUUGAGACGGAUUCUCUAUGUUGCCCAGGCUGGUCUCAGGCUCCUGGGCUCAGAUGGUCCUCCUGCCUCAGCUUCCAAAGGCACAGGCCAAGUUGUAGCUUUGUCCCUUGCCAUCAUGCCCAACAAGAGGUUCUAUACCUUUUAAUGAAUUGACUUUCAUAAAUUGGUUAUGUUGGUGGGCAAAGUUCUUUAAGCUGGAAAUUGUAAAUUCCUCCUGAAAUGUUUUUUCAUGCAGUUACCAUGAACUAAUACUACAAUAAAGGAUGGUCUUGGGUGUCAAUUCUUGAAAA